Molecule: small nucleolar RNA, 142 nt
Organism: Tachyglossus aculeatus (Australian echidna)
Lineage: Eukaryota; Metazoa; Chordata; Mammalia; Monotremata; Tachyglossidae
Source: RefSeq, a predicted model, not a curated record
CCCCUUUCAGGGUUGCACCUGGAGAGUUUCCAGUAAGUACUCUACUAGUCUUGGCUAUGGGAGGGAGAGUCAAGCAGAGGCCUAUCCAUUCCAUUCCUAGCUUGGGCAGUGGCUAGCUAUUGGAAAGCAAUCUGCUACAAGU